Long non-coding RNA from Tachysurus fulvidraco (yellow catfish), 605 nucleotides. RefSeq lists it as uncharacterized. The transcript is spliced from 4 exons. The record is from RefSeq and is a predicted model, not a curated record. Lineage: Eukaryota; Metazoa; Chordata; Actinopteri; Siluriformes; Bagridae.
UCAGCAAACACAACUUCACCCGAAGCAAAUUCAGAAAAUACAACUUCAGUAAACACGACUUCAGCAAACACAACUUCAGCAAACACAACUUCAGCAAACACAAUCCCAAAUACGUCCACAAAUGACUCAAACACAGCUCCAGUAGCUGCAGUAUACAGCUUGGUCUUUAGCGUCAACGAACCCUUUGUUUCAGCGCUGGCCAAUAAGAACUCUCCAGAGUUUUUAGCUAAAUCUGAAUUCAUCCGUAAGCAGCUUGAAGCAAAUUACAGAGAAAUCUUCACAAACUUUAUCAGGGCAAUCAUUCAUGGUUUCAGCAAUGGUUCAAUUGUGACAAAUUCCAGCCUUGAAUUUAGUGACAACGGCACCAUCCCAACUGAUUCUACAAUAGCAUCCAUCCUCGUUAAUUCAACUACCAACUCAAGCUUAAAUAUUGUUCCAAAUUCUAUAAGUGUCAGCCAGGUUCUUGUGACCAACACACCUACAAACAUCUCUUCAGAAAACACAACUUCACCCGACGCAAAUUCAGAAAAUGCAACUUCAGCAAACACAACUUCAGCAAACACAACUUCACCCAACGCAAAUUCAGAAAAUGCAACUUCAGCAAA